UUUCUGACGUGCUGAACAGACCAAAGCUUCC
Molecule: non-coding RNA, 31 nt
Filed under: Mus musculus (house mouse)
Lineage: Eukaryota; Metazoa; Chordata; Mammalia; Rodentia; Muridae
Source: RNAcentral